This 423-nucleotide ribosomal RNA is filed under the name uncultured bacterium. RNAcentral's name for it is "bacterial SSU rRNA". It matches the Rfam family "Bacterial small subunit ribosomal RNA", at positions 355 to 775 of the family's 1533-position model. The record is from RNAcentral.
UAAGGAAUAUUGGGCAAUGGACGCAAGUCUGACCCAGCCAUGCCGCGUGGAGGAUGAAGGUCCUCUGGAUUGUAAACUUCUUUUCUCUGGGGCGAAAAACAGGUAUUCUUACUUGCUUGACAGUACCAGAGGAAUAAGCACCGGCUAACUCCGUGCCAGCAGCCGCGGUAAUACGGAGGGUGCAAGCGUUAUCCGGAUUCACUGGGUUUAAAGGGUGCGUAGGUGGGCAGGUAAGUCAGCGGUGAAAUCCCCGAGCUUAACUUGGGAACUGCCAUUGAUACUAUCUGUCUUGAAUACCUUGGAGGUGAGCGGAAUAUGUCAUGUAGCGGUGAAAUGCUUAGAUAUGACAUAGAACACCAAUUGCGAAGGCAGCUCACUACACGGUCAUUGACACUGAGGCACGAAAGCGUGGGGAUCAAACAG